Molecule: long non-coding RNA, 461 nt
Filed under: Setaria italica (foxtail millet)
Lineage: Eukaryota; Viridiplantae; Streptophyta; Magnoliopsida; Poales; Poaceae
Description: long non-coding RNA (SITA_LNC003382)
Source: RNAcentral
AUUUCCAAAUAAAGAAACUGACUGUAAAUAGGGAUUCUGGAUAGAAGACACAGAACGCAUCGGCUACCGUUCAAUACUGAUAUUCCUUCCAUCAGUGUCAGAGGUAACAUAAAAAAUUCAUCCACACCAACACUCAAGACUGAAGAACAAUCUUUAAUCAUCUUUGAUCUGUGACUCCAAAGAAACAAUAUGGAGCUUGAGCAAAGUCAGAGUCAAGUCAAACCAGCAUUGGCCCCUCGCAGGCAAAGCAGCGAACACGCCGGCGACACGCCAGGACACUGAAUGCGAACCGGCCAGGCGACGCCACCACACGAGGUCGCAAGCAAAGCAAGCGGAGACGAUUGCAUUAGGACCAGGCGUCUGUAGCUUCUAAAAGUAGAAUGAGCUGCCGGGAGUUGGCUUGGCAGACGAUGAGUAGCGGCGGAGCCGGCCGGUGCAGUGGGCGAGCGGCUCAAACGCGG